CAAAAAUAACGACUAGAAAAGAUAUAGAGAGACAAAUAGAAAGUCCCUUCAGAUGUUUCUGCUCCACGAAGGAUAAGUCUGUUGGCCAUCUCAACCCCCCCUGCAUAUGGGCAUAUUGAUUUUUUUCUUUUUGAAGCAAAGAGAAUUUGUUUAAAUCCCACAAUGAUGCAGCCAGAGUUUCCAAACUUUUGGAGCCUUCUGGAGCUAGAAAAGUUGGAUAUUUAUCUUAUUCUUGAUAUAUGGG
Molecule: long non-coding RNA, 244 nt
Filed under: Elaeis guineensis (African oil palm)
Lineage: Eukaryota; Viridiplantae; Streptophyta; Magnoliopsida; Arecales; Arecaceae
Description: long non-coding RNA (EGUI_LNC005401)
Source: RNAcentral